Molecule: long non-coding RNA, 185 nt
Organism: Thalassophryne amazonica
Lineage: Eukaryota; Metazoa; Chordata; Actinopteri; Batrachoidiformes; Batrachoididae
Exons: 3
Source: RefSeq, a predicted model, not a curated record
UCUGUUCUUAAAUGUUUCAAAUCUGCAGUGAUUAAACCAUUACUUAAAAAUCUAAUAUUGACCCUAGUAUACUGAAAAACUAUAGGGCGAUAUCAAAUCUAUCAUUUUGCUCUAAAAUUGUGGAAAAAGUGGUUUCACUGCAUAGUGAGCUCGGUCACUUGGGAGGAGCUCGGAGUCGAGCCGCU